ACCCAGAUGACGAAUCCCAAACAGAACGAAGUGCGUGUCCUAGAU
RNAcentral lists this non-coding RNA (45 nucleotides) under Schistosoma mattheei. The record is from RNAcentral. Lineage: Eukaryota; Metazoa; Platyhelminthes; Trematoda; Strigeidida; Schistosomatidae.